Molecule: transfer RNA, 73 nt
Filed under: Streptococcus pneumoniae B1599
Lineage: Bacteria; Bacillati; Bacillota; Bacilli; Lactobacillales; Streptococcaceae
Description: tRNA-Ala
Rfam family: tRNA
About the family: Transfer RNA (tRNA) molecules are approximately 80 nucleotides in length. Their secondary structure includes four short double-helical elements and three loops (D, anti-codon, and T loops).
Source: RNAcentral
GGCCUUAGCUCAGCUGGGAGAGCGCCUGCUUUGCACGCAGGAGGUCAGCGGUUCGAUCCCGCCUAGGCCUCCA